GACGAACGCUGGCGGCGUGCCUAAUACAUGCAAGUUGAGCGCUGAAGGGUGGUACUUGUUCCACUUGCAUGAGCAGCGAACGGGUGAGUAACGCGUGGGUAACCUGCCUAUAAGACGGGGACAACAUCUGGAAACGAAUGCUAAUACCGCAUAAAAACUUUAAACACAAGUUUCAAGUUUGAAAGAUGCAAUUGCAUCACCCUAAAAUGGUCCCGCGUUGUCUUAGCCAGUUUGGGAAGUAAAGGCCUACCAAGGCGAAGAUACAUUGCCCAACUGAGAAGGUUGUCGGCCACAUUGGGAAUUGGACACCGCCCAAGCUCCUACGGGAGGCCGCAGUAGGGGAUCUUCCGCAAUUGACGGAAGUCUGGCCGGGCAACGCCGCGUGGGUGAAGAAGGUUUUCGGAUCGUAAAACUCUGUUGGUAGGGAAGAACGUUGGUGGGAGGUGAAAACGCACCAAGUGACGGUAACUACCCAGAAAGGGACGGCUAACUACGUG
This 497-nucleotide ribosomal RNA is filed under the name uncultured bacterium. RNAcentral describes it as "partial 16S ribosomal RNA". It matches the Rfam family "Bacterial small subunit ribosomal RNA", at positions 28 to 507 of the family's 1533-position model. The record is from RNAcentral.